RNAcentral lists this RNase P RNA (374 nucleotides) under Protaetiibacter larvae. RNAcentral describes it as "Bacterial RNase P class A". It matches the Rfam family "Bacterial RNase P class A". Rfam says of the family: Ribonuclease P (RNase P) is a ubiquitous endoribonuclease, found in archaea, bacteria and eukarya as well as chloroplasts and mitochondria. Its best characterised activity is the generation of mature 5'-ends of tRNAs by cleaving the 5'-leader elements of precursor-tRNAs. The record is from Rfam by way of RNAcentral. Lineage: Bacteria; Bacillati; Actinomycetota; Actinomycetes; Micrococcales; Microbacteriaceae.
CGGGUCGGCCAGACGGUCGCGUCGCGCGCCGCGAGGCGCGUGCCGAGGAACGUCCGGGCUCCACAGAGCAGGGCGGUGGGUAACACCCACCCGGAGCAAUCCGCGAGAAAGUGCAACAGAGAGCAGACCGCCACGGCGCCUUCGGGCGCCGGGGUAAGGGUGAAACGGUGGUGUAAGAGACCACCAGGGGCCCGAGUGAUCGGGCUCGCUGGGUAAACCUCGCCCGGAGCAAGGUCAGACAGACACCGAUGAGGCUGCUCGCCGAGGUGUCGGGUAGACCGCUGGAGGGCUGCGGCAACGCAUCCCCGAGAGAGAUGGCCGUCCGGUCGACGCGAGUCGGCCGACAGAACCCGGCGUAUCGGCCGACCCGUUCA